UAUAUAGAGGCGCGAAAUCUAUGAUUAGGCUUUCGGAGGCAUUUGGGUGCCUUAGAGGGAAGCGGAAAGGAGCUUUCGCCGAAAUGGACAGCCAUCCCAAGCGGCGGUCUGUUGGGAGUAAGGAUAAUAUCCUUGCUACUGUCGCAAUAUAUUUGCGGAGUGCUAUA
Molecule: non-coding RNA, 167 nt
Filed under: human gut metagenome
Description: Lysine riboswitch
Rfam family: Lysine riboswitch aptamer
About the family: Riboswitches are metabolite binding domains within certain messenger RNAs that serve as precision sensors for their corresponding targets.
Source: RNAcentral